UACGUAGGGUGCAAGCGUUGUCCGGAAUUAUUGGGCGUAAAGAGCUCGUAGGCGGCUUGUCGCGUCGGCUGUGAAAACCUGGGGCUCAACCCCGGGCCUGCAGCCGAUACGGGCAAGCUAGAGUUCGGCAGGGGAGACUGGAAUUCCUGGUGUAGCGGUGAAAUGCGCAGAUAUCAGGAGGAACACCGGUGGCGAAGGCGGGUCUCUGGGCCGAUACUGACGCUGAGGAGCGAAAGCGUGGGGAGCGAACAGG
Molecule: ribosomal RNA, 253 nt
Filed under: uncultured bacterium
Lineage: Bacteria
Description: partial 16S ribosomal RNA
Rfam family: Bacterial small subunit ribosomal RNA
Source: RNAcentral